Suncus etruscus (white-toothed pygmy shrew) is the source of this 459-nucleotide non-coding RNA. The record is from the annotation of a RefSeq genome assembly. Lineage: Eukaryota; Metazoa; Chordata; Mammalia; Eulipotyphla; Soricidae.
AUGGGAGCAGGAAAUCCAGACUGGCAAGCCAGCUACCUUAAGAACCUUAGGAAACUAAAGGUAGAAUUGCAGCUUACAGACACAUUUGUCCUACAUACUUUGUCACUGUGUUGGGUGUUCGGCCCUGGAACCCAGCUGACCGUCCUUGGUCAGCCCAAAUCUGCACCCACGGUCACUCUGUUCCCACCCUCCUCUGAGGAGAUCAGCACUCACAAGGCCACACUGGUGUGUAUGAUAAAUGACUUCUACCCCGGCAAUAUUAAGGUGACCUGGAAGACAAAUGGCAAACCCAUCACUCAAGGAGUCGAUACCACCAAGCCAGCGAAACUGAGCAACAACAAGUAUGCAGCCAGCAGCUACCUUAGCUUGACGUCCUCUGAUUGGCUCGCUGCUGAACAGUACAGCUGCCAGGUCAUACAUGACGGAAAAACUGUAGAGAAGACAGUGUCUCCUGCAUAA